UCGUGCCCGGCUCCAAGAUGGUUGUCAAUGGAGGCUCUCCGGAGACAGCCUAGCGGGUCAGUCCGAACACUGCGGCCCGGUAGGCUGGGCGAUGCCCCGCCCCAGCCAGCCCGCCGCUCGCAUUGGCGCUGCCGAGGCCCAGGCCUGCUCUCAUUGGCUAGAGAGGUGUCGCUCCCGCUCUCUCCGCUCCAGGGCCCGGGGAACUAUUUUCCAUUCGGCGGAGGGGGGCCGGGGAGGGGGCUCCGCUGAAUCGCUCCGUCCGCGCCGAGCGGCAGGCGGCGGGCCCGGGCGGGGCGGCGGAGGAUGCUGCGGCCGUUGGGGCCGCCGGGACGGCGCUGAGGCGUCGCUGUCCCCGCCGCCGCGCAGCGGUUUGUGCUAUUAAAGGCUUCCCACUGAAGAUGUCUUGCUGCCCUCAGCCUCAACAUAACCCCUGUUACCUUGAAUAUCCCCAGUUGAUGAAGUUGCUACAGUGACAUACUGAAAGAAGGCAAGUUUCCAGGUUAACCUCCUCAUUCAUUCAGUUGUCAAUCUGCAAACCAAGAUAUUGAAGUGGACCUGGUAUCAGAGCAAUAGGGUCUCUGUCAGAACAGGUCUAGUUUUGUCUUUUUGUGGAUUCUGUACAUUAGUCACUAUGGCAGAGUGAAUCAGCUAUACUUUUAGGUUGCAUUCUUUGUCAGUCCAAAGCAAACUACAAAAAAGACGAGACAAAACAAUUUUGAGACCUGAUAGACUGAGCUGCUGAAAUCUGUUCUGAGUUUUCCAGUUGGUCUGGAUGUCUUGCAUCUACUCUGGUUUCAGAAUUGCAUUAGCAAUACAACCAACUAGUGAAUUUGGACAGCUGGGUGGCAUGCAAUAGCUUGACGUGACUUCAUAUGUGUGACAGCAUUGGAAAAAUGGCUGGGUUAGUCCUUGGAGGAAUAUCUAGAAUUUCUCUUCUAUUGCUCUUGUAAUGAUGACAGGUACAUCUAAGAAAGAGAGAGCUGAUGGAAGGGAUUUGAAAUCAACUGUGUUCAAUUAGAAAGUUGGGGGGGGAGGUUUAAUGUUAUGAAACACGUGAAACCUGUCACUCUGCAGCAGCGUUCUGGGAGGACCAUUCAUCACAUUUGAUGUGGCAAUUCACGUAUUUCCCUGAUGGACUAAUAACCCAAGAUGGUAUAACGUGCAUUUUUCUGGUCUCAUUAAUUAUGUGUAAAGUUGAGAGAAAUGUAUUUUAGUCUAAUCAAAGGAUAGCGCUGAUUGCUGUUAAUAUUUGUAAAAUUUGUAAACCACCUUGUCCUGUGAUAGCCUGCUGCUAAAUAUAUCAGCUUUUGGUAGAUACUUCAUGGAUUCAGGUGACUCCAUGUAACUUUCAUAGAGUAGAUUUAUCUAUUCUUAAGAUUUAGUUGAAGUGGUGAUGUUUCAUUACUGCUACUAGUUGUGAAAACAAAUGUAAAAUCUAAAGAGCAUACCUUUUUUCUUCGCUAAAA
This 1466-nucleotide long non-coding RNA is filed under the name Falco tinnunculus (common kestrel). RNAcentral's name for it is "lncRNA (ENSFTIG00000006905.1)". Lineage: Eukaryota; Metazoa; Chordata; Aves; Falconiformes; Falconidae. The record is from RNAcentral.